UGUAAUUGCUGUAAAUGUUCAUAUUUCAUACUUUCCUGGAAACAAUUUUCCUUGGCAUUGGCAGUUGCUUUGCUAGAUUUUCUUAGCUGUCAGGGACUCAGGCAUGCUUCUAAUUUGCUUGGGAGGGUAUGACUGGAGAUGGAAACGGUAUAGGUCCUGGGCCUCAAGAAACAUCUGAAGCCGCUGUAAUUAGGUUCAGUUUGUUUGUUUUUAGUUUCUUAUGACAGACCAAUUUUCUCUUUUUGGAGCACAUCUGCAGCCUUACAUAUGAUUUAGAUGUAACAUGUAUUUUAUGUGGAAACGUUACAUCUGUUUGCCCAUGUAACUCUAGUGGACUAUCCUGGGGGAUGACACUCGAUCUGCAGUUCCUGAAUGCCUGUAAAGCGCAUUCUGGUGUAUCCAUCGGUGCCUUGCAAUGGUUAAG
Molecule: small RNA, 424 nt
Filed under: Oryza sativa Japonica Group (Japanese rice)
Lineage: Eukaryota; Viridiplantae; Streptophyta; Magnoliopsida; Poales; Poaceae
Description: misc RNA P0585G03.15-1
Source: RNAcentral